Molecule: ribosomal RNA, 253 nt
Filed under: uncultured bacterium
Lineage: Bacteria
Description: partial 16S ribosomal RNA
Rfam family: Bacterial small subunit ribosomal RNA
Source: RNAcentral
UACGGGGGGGGCAAGCGUUGUUCGGAAUUACUGGGCGUAAAGGGCUCGUAGGCGGCCAACUAAGUCAUACGUGAAAUCCCUCGGCUUAACCGGGGAACUGCGUCCGAUACUGGAUGGCUUGAGAUUGGGAGAGGGAUGCGGAAUUCCAGGUGUAGCGGUGAAAUGCGUAGAUAUCGUAAGGAAGACCAGUGGCGAAGGCGGGUCUCUGGACAGUUCCUGACGCUGAGGCACGAAGGUCAGGGGAGCAAACGGG